UACGGAGGGUGCAAGCGUUAUCCGGAUUCACUGGGUUUAAAGGGUGCGUAGGCGGCUUUGCAAGUCAGUGGUGAAAGCCCGCAGCUCAACUGCGGAACUGCCAUUGAAACUGCUUGGCUGGAGUGUUAUUGAAGUGGGCGGAAUACAUCAUGUAGCGGUGAAAUGCUUAGAUAUGAUGUAGAACUCCGAUUGCGAAGGCAGCUCACUAAAUGACAACUGACGCUGAGGCACGAAAGCGUGGGUAGCAAACAGG
Molecule: ribosomal RNA, 253 nt
Filed under: uncultured bacterium
Lineage: Bacteria
Description: partial 16S ribosomal RNA
Rfam family: Bacterial small subunit ribosomal RNA
Source: RNAcentral